GAUCCAGAGGAGACAUCCUUGUGACUCAGACUCCAGAAUUCCUCUCAGUGUCACUAGGAGACACCGUCACUAUCAACUGCAAAGCCAGUUCCACUGCUAGCAGCUACAUGGCUUUGCACCAGCAGAAACUAGGACAAGCUCCUAAACUUCUCAUCUACAGCACUAACUCUCGACCCUCUGGGAUCCCAGACCGGUUCAGCGGCAGUGGGUCUGGCACUGACUUCACUUUUAAAAUCAGCCGGGUAGAAGCGGACGAUGCUGGAGAUUAUUACUGUCAGCAGCAUUAUACCACCCCUCUCACACAGUGA
Chrysemys picta bellii (western painted turtle) is the source of this 308-nucleotide non-coding RNA. The record is from the annotation of a RefSeq genome assembly. NCBI's taxonomy places the organism in Eukaryota, Metazoa, Chordata, Testudines, Emydidae.